Molecule: ribosomal RNA, 611 nt
Filed under: uncultured bacterium
Lineage: Bacteria
Description: bacterial SSU rRNA
Rfam family: Bacterial small subunit ribosomal RNA
Source: RNAcentral
CCUACGGGAGGCAGCAGUAAGGAAUAUUGGACAAUGCUCGCAAGAGUGAUCCAGCCAUGCCGCGUGCAGGAAGAAUGCCCUAUGGGUAGUAAACUGCUUUUGAACUAGAGAAAACCCCAGUACGUGUACUGGGCUGAUAGUAUAGUUAGAAUAAGCAUCGGCUAACUUCGUGCCAGCAGCCGCGGUAAGACGAAGGAUGCAAGCGUUAUCCGGAUUCAUUGGGUUUAAAGGGAGCGUAGGUGGACUGAUAAGUCAGUGGUGAAAUCUCCGAGCUUAACUCGGAAAUUGCCAUUGAUACUGUUGGUCUUGAGUACAGUUGCUGUGGGCGGAAUAUGACAUGUAGUGGUGAAAUACAUAGAGAUGUCAUAGAACACCGAUUGCGAAGGCAGCUCACAAAGCUGUAACUGACACUGAGGCUCGAAAGUGCGGGGAUCAAACAGGAUUAGAUACCCUGGUAGUCCGCACCGUAAACGAUGAUUACUCGCUGCUAGGGGGCAACCUUUAGUGGCUUAGCGAAAGCGAUAAGAAUCCCACCUGGGGAGUACGCCGGCAACGGUGAAACUUAAAGGAAUUGACGGCGNGAGAGNGCGAGGACGACACGAGGGAGGAGG